Molecule: long non-coding RNA, 321 nt
Filed under: Gouania willdenowi (blunt-snouted clingfish)
Lineage: Eukaryota; Metazoa; Chordata; Actinopteri; Blenniiformes; Gobiesocidae
Description: lncRNA (ENSGWIG00000001362.1)
Source: RNAcentral
GCUUCUGCUUGUUGAACAGGAGCUGCUGCUUGUGCUUGUCGUUGUUGUUGUUGUUGUUGUUUUUCUUCCAUCAUUUGUUUGUGGAGUUUGUUUGCGAGGAAAACAUGAGUUUGUACACACGCCGUCCAUUCACUCCUCCUCCUCUGUCAGAGCUGGUGUCCACCAUCGGACCAACAGUUGGUCUGCAGGGAGUGUCUUAUCAGAGUGGGUCCGUCACUGUGGAGAUAACACCCUGUUUCCACAGCAGGGACGUUCAUCCACACCUCAAUGUCUCCUGAAAAUACACACAAAUACACUCACUGAGCAACAACACGCACACAC